CCUACGGGCGGCAGCAGUGAGGAAUAUUGGGCAAUGGGCGCGAGCCUGAACCAGCCAAGUAGCGUGAAGGAUGACUGCCCUACGGGUUGUAAACUUCUUUUAUAAAGGAAUAAAGUGAGGCACGUGGGCCUGUUUGUAUGUACUGUAUGAAUAAGGAUCGGCUAACUCCGUGCCAGCAGCCGCGGUAAUACGGAGGAUCCGAGCGUUAUCCGGAUUUAUUGGGUUUAAAGGGAGCGUAGAGGGGUUGUUAAGUCAGUUGGGAAAGUUUGCGGCUCAACCGUAAAAUUGCAAUUGAUACUGGCAGUCUUGCGUACAGUUGAGGUAGGCGGACUUCGUGGUGUAGCGGUUCAAUGCUUCGAUCUCACGCAGAACUCCGAUUGCGACGGCAGCUUACUACACUGCCACUGACAUUGCUUCUCGCAAGUGUGGGUCUCACACCGGCUUCGCUACCCCGGUAGUC
RNAcentral lists this ribosomal RNA (460 nucleotides) under uncultured bacterium. Its description in RNAcentral is "partial 16S ribosomal RNA". It matches the Rfam family "Bacterial small subunit ribosomal RNA", at positions 338 to 795 of the family's 1533-position model. The record is from RNAcentral.